GACGAACGCUGGCGGCGUGCUUAACACAUGCAAGUCGAGCGGAAAGGCCCUUUCGGGGGUACUCGAGCGGCGAACGGGUGAGUAACACGUGAGUAACCUGCCUUCGACUUCGGGAUAACCUCGGGAAACCGAGGCUAAUACCGGGUAUUCACAUUGUCUCGCAUGGGGUGGUGUGGAAAGGGUUUACCGGUUGGGGAUGGACUCGCGGCCUAUCAGCUUGUUGGUGGGGUAGUGGCCUACCAAGGCGACGACGGGUAGCCGGCCUGAGAGGGGGACCGGCCACACUGGGACUGAGACACGGCCCAGACUCCUACGGGAGGCAGCAGUGGGGAAUAUUGCGCAAUGGGCGGAAGCCUGACGCAGCGACGCCGCGUGGGGGAUGACGGCCUUCGGGUUGUAAACCUCUUUCAGCAGGGACGAAGGGUGACUGACGGUACCUGCAGAAGAAGCUCCGGCUAACUACGUGCCAGCCGCCGCCGUAACAC
RNAcentral lists this ribosomal RNA (485 nucleotides) under uncultured bacterium. RNAcentral's name for it is "bacterial SSU rRNA". It matches the Rfam family "Bacterial small subunit ribosomal RNA", at positions 28 to 526 of the family's 1533-position model. The record is from RNAcentral.